GACGGCCCUAUGGGUUGUAAACUUCUUUUGCAGGGGAAUAAAGAUAUUCACGUGUGGGUAGUUGUAUGUACCCUGCGAAUAAGCAUCGGCUAACUCCGUGCCAGCAGCCGCGGUAAUACGGAGGAUGCGAGCGUUAUCCGGAUUUAUUGGGUUUAAAGGGUGCGUAGGUGGGCUAUUAAGUCAGUGGUGAAAGUUUGUCGCUCAACGAUAAAAUUGCCGUUGAAACUGGUGGUCUUGAGUAUGGAUGAAGUAGGCGGAAUGCGUGGUGUAGCGGUGAAAUGCAUAGAGAUCACGCAGAACUCCGAUUGCGAAGGCAGCUUACUAAGGCAUAACUGACACUGAAGCACGAAAGCGUGGGUAUCAAACAGGAUUAGAUACCCUGGUAGUCCACGCAGUAAACGAUGAUUACUAGGAGUUUGCGAUAUAGUGUAAGCUCUACAGCGAAAGCGUUAAGUAAUCCACCUGGGGAGUACGCCGGCAACGGUGAAACUCAAA
This 495-nucleotide ribosomal RNA is filed under the name uncultured bacterium. RNAcentral's name for it is "bacterial SSU rRNA". It matches the Rfam family "Bacterial small subunit ribosomal RNA", at positions 410 to 905 of the family's 1533-position model. The record is from RNAcentral.